This is a long non-coding RNA of Candoia aspera, 487 nucleotides long. RefSeq lists it as uncharacterized. Lineage: Eukaryota; Metazoa; Chordata; Lepidosauria; Squamata; Candoiidae. The record is from RefSeq and is a predicted model, not a curated record. The transcript has 2 exons.
GGGUUGCGCGCCGAACCUGCUGUCAUGCGGGGGGAACGCAGCAAAGACGCAGGAGGCACAAAGGAACAUUCACUUUGAUGGACAUCUCUUCCCACCGCCUGCAGAAGGGAGAAAAUUCCAAACUCUUCUCCUUUCUCUCCCAACCCUUGUACCAGUUUCGGUUGUAGCGCCUGCUGGUACAGAGGAUGGAAGGGAGAGUGGUUCAGAGGUUAUAGACCAGAAUUUCUCUAUUUUCCAGCUUGGCUGAUCUCUCUAAACUAGAGAAAAAGACUAUCGGCAGCGCUCCCUUCCCCUUUAUCCAGUGCUGAAAGCAGAUAAAACAUGAAAUAAAUCUUCCUCUACCAUCCUGGAAAAAAAACAUCUGCUUCUACUGCUAGCUGCUUUUGGCUUUCAACUGUUUGGCAAAAUCUCUCUCGUUGCUUUCAUAUAGCCCCUUAUUUGAGAUUCUAUCAAGCUAGCAAAAUAAAUGUUUCUCUGUCUGAAGCAA